UCGAGAAUCUUCCGCAAUGGACGAAAGUCUGACGGAGCGACGCCGCGUGAUGGAUGAAGUCCCUCUGGGACGUAAAUAUCUUUUAUGAGGGAGAAAGUUUAUUGAUAGUACCUCACGAAUAAGGGGUUGCUAAACUCGUGCCAGCAGCAGCGGUAAUACGAGUGCCCCGAGCGUUAUCCGGAAUCAUUGGGCGUAAAGGGUGUGUAGGUGGCAUUGUUAGUCACACGUUAAACCCUGGGGCUUAACCCCAGAUCUGCGUGUGAUACGGCAAAGCUAGAGGAUGGCAGGGAUGUAUGGAACUCAUGGAGUAGGGGUGAAAUCCGUUGAUAUCAUGGGGAACACCGAAAGCGAAGGCAGUACAUUGGGCCACUCCUGACACUGAAACACGAAAGCGUGGGUAGCGAAUGGGAUUAGAUACCCCCGUAGUCCCUGAGCGGGCUGGCAAGGCGCAU
RNAcentral lists this ribosomal RNA (452 nucleotides) under uncultured bacterium. RNAcentral's name for it is "bacterial SSU rRNA". It matches the Rfam family "Bacterial small subunit ribosomal RNA", at positions 355 to 825 of the family's 1533-position model. The record is from RNAcentral.